RNAcentral lists this ribosomal RNA (253 nucleotides) under uncultured bacterium. Its description in RNAcentral is "partial 16S ribosomal RNA". It matches the Rfam family "Bacterial small subunit ribosomal RNA", at positions 524 to 776 of the family's 1533-position model. The record is from RNAcentral.
UACGGGGGGGGUAAGCGUUGUUCGGAAUUACUGGGCGUAAAGGGCUCGUAGGCGGCCAACUAAGUCGGACGUGAAAUCCCUCAGCUUAACUGGGGAACUGCGUGUGAUACUGGAUGGCUUGGAUUUGGGAGAGGGAUGCGGAAUUCCAGGUGUAGCGGUGAAAUGCGUAGAUAUCUGGAGGAACACCGGUGGCGAAGGCGGCAUCCUGGACCAAUAUUGACGCUGAGGAGCGAAAGCCAGGGGAGCAAACGGG